Molecule: ribosomal RNA, 795 nt
Filed under: Triticum aestivum (bread wheat)
Lineage: Eukaryota; Viridiplantae; Streptophyta; Magnoliopsida; Poales; Poaceae
Description: partial small subunit ribosomal RNA
Source: RNAcentral
AUGGACACAGCAACACCAAUAGAUGAAGAUGGAGAUCAUGUUAGCAUUUCAGACGAUGAAGGAGAAGAGGAUGAGGCGGAAGAGGUGCAUCCACAUCAACCAUCUAGUCGCAAGCUCACGUCUAAGGUUUGGUUGGACAUGCAUAAGUUGAAGAUAAAUGGAGAAUGGAAGGCCAAGUGUAAUUGGUGUCAUAAGACACUUACCGCAGGAUCAUGGAAUGGUACUAAGCAUCUAAAGUUGCAUCUUCAGAGUUGCACUCUUAGGAAGUUGAAGACGAAGGAUGGUAAAACUUUGCAUCAAGCCUCAUUGAAGGUGAUGGCCGAGAAUGAUGGGAAAGUGAGAAUGGAGAGCUACACUUUUAAUCAAGAGUACGCUAGAGCAGAGCUUGGCAACAUGUUGGUGUUGCAUGAUUAUCCUUUGUCUAUGGUGGACCAUGUUGGUUUUAGGAGAUUUGUUGCUGCACUUCAGCCAUUGUUCAAGCUGCAUACUAGAAAUACUAUUAGAACUGACAUUGUGGAAAGGUACGACAUAGAAAAGAAGAAGGCCAUCGAGUAUAUGAGUAUGGUACAAUCAAGGGUCGCAGUCACCACCGAUAUGUGGACUUCUGACAGCCAAAAGAAGGGAUAUAUGGCUAUUACAGCCCAUUUCAUUGAUGAUUCUUGGAGGCUAAGGAACAUUCUCAUGAGGUAUAUACAUGUUCCCACAUCAUAUAUUUUCAGCAGUCCAUUUCAUUGUACUUAUUUUCAGCAGUCCAUUAAGCUUUCGUCAACUAUUGCGUUUGUGUGCAUAUUGUAG